CAGCAGCAGGGCGCCGCCGGCUACACGUGGCCUUCAUCCCGCCGUACUCUGCCGAUGUCGCUGGUCUGAGUUUCAGUGUCCACCGUUUGAUCUGUUCCACUAA
Molecule: long non-coding RNA, 103 nt
Organism: Etheostoma spectabile (orangethroat darter)
Lineage: Eukaryota; Metazoa; Chordata; Actinopteri; Perciformes; Percidae
Exons: 4
Source: RefSeq, a predicted model, not a curated record